AACGAACGCUGGCGGCAUGCCUAACACAUGCAAGUCGAACGAGACCUUCGGGUCUAGUGGCGCACGGGUGCGUAACGCGUGGGAACCUGCCCUUAGGUUCGGAAUAACUCCCCGAAAGGGGUGCUAAUACCGGAUAAUGUCUUCGGACCAAAGAUUUAUCGCCUUUGGAUGGGCCCGCGUUGGAUUAGCUAGUUGGUAGGGUAAAAGCCUACCAAGGCGACGAUCCAUAGCUGGUCUGAGAGGAUGAUCAGCCACACUGGGACUGAGACACGGCCCAGACUCCUACGGGAGGCAGCAGUGGGGAAUAUUGGACACUGGGCGAAAGCCUGAUCAAGCAAUGCCGGGUGAGUGAUGAAGGCCUUAGGGUUGUAAAGCCCUUUUACCCGAGAUGAUAGUGACAGUACCGGGAGAAUAAGCUCCGGCUAACUCCGUG
This 433-nucleotide ribosomal RNA is filed under the name uncultured bacterium. RNAcentral's name for it is "partial 16S ribosomal RNA". It matches the Rfam family "Bacterial small subunit ribosomal RNA", at positions 29 to 507 of the family's 1533-position model. The record is from RNAcentral.